This 293-nucleotide ribosomal RNA is filed under the name uncultured bacterium. RNAcentral's name for it is "partial 16S ribosomal RNA". It matches the Rfam family "Archaeal small subunit ribosomal RNA", at positions 455 to 747 of the family's 1478-position model. The record is from RNAcentral.
GUGCCAGCCGCCGCGGUAAUACCGGCAGCCCAAGUGAUGGCCGCUGUUAUUGGGCCUAAAGCGUCCGUAGCUGGCCGCACAAGUCCGUCGGGAAAUCCGCCCGCUCAACGGGCGGCCGUCCGGCGGAAACUGUGUGGCUUGGAACCGGAAGGCUCAGAGGGUACGUCCGGGGUAGGAGUGAAAUCCCGUAAUCCCGGACGGACCACCGAUGGCGAAAGCACUUCGAGAAAACGGAUCCGACAGUGAGGGACGAAAGCCAGGGUCUCCAACCGGAUUAGAAACCCGAGUAGUCC